This 83-nucleotide transfer RNA is filed under the name Anisakis simplex (herring worm). It matches the Rfam family "tRNA". From Rfam's summary of the family: Transfer RNA (tRNA) molecules are approximately 80 nucleotides in length. Their secondary structure includes four short double-helical elements and three loops (D, anti-codon, and T loops). Further hydrogen bonds mediate the characteristic L-shaped molecular structure. tRNAs have two regions of fundamental functional importance: the anti-codon, which is responsible for specific mRNA codon recognition, and the 3' end, to which the tRNAs corresponding amino acid is attached (by aminoacyl-tRNA synthetases). tRNAs cope with the degeneracy of the genetic code in two manners: having more than one tRNA (with a specific anti-codon) for a particular amino acid; and 'wobble' base-pairing, i.e. permitting non-standard base-pairing at the 3rd anti-codon position. The record is from Rfam by way of RNAcentral. Lineage: Eukaryota; Metazoa; Nematoda; Chromadorea; Rhabditida; Anisakidae.
GAUCAGGUGGCCGAGUGGUUAAGGCGAUGGACUGCUAAAUCCAUUGGGGUUUCCCCGCGUGAGUUCGAAUCUCAUCCUGAUCG